RNAcentral lists this ribosomal RNA (2899 nucleotides) under Klebsiella pneumoniae. RNAcentral describes it as "bacterial LSU rRNA". It matches the Rfam family "Bacterial large subunit ribosomal RNA". Lineage: Bacteria; Pseudomonadati; Pseudomonadota; Gammaproteobacteria; Enterobacterales; Enterobacteriaceae. The record is from RNAcentral.
UUAAGCGACUAAGCGUACACGGUGGAUGCCCUGGCAGUCAGAGGCGAUGAAGGACGUGCUAAUCUGCGAAAAGCGUCGGUAAGGUGAUAUGAACCGUUAUAACCGGCGAUGUCCGAAUGGGGAAACCCAGUGCAAUUCGUUGCACUAUCGUUAACUGAAUACAUAGGUUAACGAGGCGAACCGGGGGAACUGAAACAUCUAAGUACCCCGAGGAAAAGAAAUCAACCGAGAUUCCCCCAGUAGCGGCGAGCGAACGGGGAGCAGCCCAGAGUCUGAAUCAGCUUGUGUGUUAGUGGAACGGUCUGGAAAGUCUGACGGUACAGGGUGAUAGUCCCGUACACCAAAAUGCACAGGCUGUGAACUCGAAGAGUAGGGCGGGACACGUGGUAUCCUGUCUGAAUAUGGGGGACCAUCCUCCAAGGCUAAAUACUCCUGACUGACCGAUAGUGAACCAGUACCGUGAGGGAAAGGCGAAAAGAACCCCGGCGAGGGGAGUGAAAAAGAACCUGAAACCGUGUACGUACAAGCAGUGGGAGCACCUUCGGGUGUGACUGCGUACCUUUUGUAUAAUGGGUCAGCGACUUAUAUUCUGUAGCAAGGUUAACCGUAUAGGGGAGCCGCAGGGAAACCGAGUCUUAACUGGGCGUUAAGUUGCAGGGUAUAGACCCGAAACCCGGUGAUCUAGCCAUGGGCAGGUUGAAGGUUGGGUAACACUAACUGGAGGACCGAACCGACUAAUGUUGAAAAAUUAGCGGAUGACUUGUGGCUGGGGGUGAAAGGCCAAUCAAACCGGGAGAUAGCUGGUUCUCCCCGAAAGCUAUUUAGGUAGCGCCUCGUGAAUUCAUCUUCGGGGGUAGAGCACUGUUUCGGCUAGGGGGUCAUCCCGACUUACCAACCCGAUGCAAACUACGAAUACCGAAGAAUGUUAUCACGGGAGACACACGGCGGGUGCUAACGUCCGUCGUGAAGAGGGAAACAACCCAGACCGCCAGCUAAGGUCCCAAAGUCAUGGUUAAGUGGGAAACGAUGUGGGAAGGCACAGACAGCCAGGAUGUUGGCUUAGAAGCAGCCAUCAUUUAAAGAAAGCGUAAUAGCUCACUGGUCGAGUCGGCCUGCGCGGAAGAUGUAACGGGGCUAAACCAUGCACCGAAGCUGCGGCAGCGACACUAUGUGUUGUUGGGUAGGGGAGCGUUCUGUAAGCCUGCGAAGGUGACCUGUGAGGGUUGCUGGAGGUAUCAGAAGUGCGAAUGCUGACAUAAGUAACGAUAAAGCGGGUGAAAAGCCCGCUCGCCGGAAGACCAAGGGUUCCUGUCCAACGUUAAUCGGGGCAGGGUGAGUCGACCCCUAAGGCGAGGCCGAAAGGCGUAGUCGAUGGGAAACAGGUUAAUAUUCCUGUACUUGGUGUUACUGCGAAGGGGGGACGGAGAAGGCUAUGUUAGCCGGGCGACGGUUGUCCCGGUUUAAGCAUGUAGGCUGGUUAUCCAGGCAAAUCCGGAUAAUCAAGGCUGAGGUGUGAUGACGAGGCACUACGGUGCUGAAGUAACAAAUGCCCUGCUUCCAGGAAAAGCCUCUAAGCAUCAGGUAACAUCAAAUCGUACCCCAAACCGACACAGGUGGUCAGGUAGAGAAUACCAAGGCGCUUGAGAGAACUCGGGUGAAGGAACUAGGCAAAAUGGUGCCGUAACUUCGGGAGAAGGCACGCUGGUGUGUAGGUGAAGCCCCUGCGGGUGGAGCCGAGACCAGUCGAAGAUACCAGCUGGCUGCAACUGUUUAUUAAAAACACAGCACUGUGCAAACACGAAAGUGGACGUAUACGGUGUGACGCCUGCCCGGUGCCGGAAGGUUAAUUGAUGGGGUUAUCCGUAAGGAGAAGCUCUUGAUCGAAGCCCCGGUAAACGGCGGCCGUAACUAUAACGGUCCUAAGGUAGCGAAAUUCCUUGUCGGGUAAGUUCCGACCUGCACGAAUGGCGUAAUGAUGGCCAGGCUGUCUCCACCCGAGACUCAGUGAAAUUGAACUCGCUGUGAAGAUGCAGUGUACCCGCGGCAAGACGGAAAGACCCCGUGAACCUUUACUAUAGCUUGACACUGAACAUUGAGCCUUGAUGUGUAGGAUAGGUGGGAGGCUUUGAAGCGUGGACGCCAGUCUGCGUGGAGCCAACCUUGAAAUACCACCCUUUAAUGUUUGAUGUUCUAACGUUGGCCCCUGACCGGGGUUGCGGACAGUGUCUGGUGGGUAGUUUGACUGGGGCGGUCUCCUCCCAAAGCGUAACGGAGGAGCACGAAGGUUAGCUAAUCCUGGUCGGACAUCAGGAGGUUAGUGCAAUGGCAUAAGCUAGCUUGACUGCGAGCGUGACGGCGCGAGCAGGUGCGAAAGCAGGUCAUAGUGAUCCGGUGGUUCUGAAUGGAAGGGCCAUCGCUCAACGGAUAAAAGGUACUCCGGGGAUAACAGGCUGAUACCGCCCAAGAGUUCAUAUCGACGGCGGUGUUUGGCACCUCGAUGUCGGCUCAUCACAUCCUGGGGCUGAAGUAGGUCCCAAGGGUAUGGCUGUUCGCCAUUUAAAGUGGUACGCGAGCUGGGUUUAGAACGUCGUGAGACAGUUCGGUCCCUAUCUGCCGUGGGCGCUGGAGAAUUGAGGGGGGCUGCUCCUAGUACGAGAGGACCGGAGUGGACGCAUCACUGGUGUUCGGGUUGUCAUGCCAAUGGCACUGCCCGGUAGCUAAAUGCGGAAGAGAUAAGUGCUGAAAGCAUCUAAGCACGAAACUUGCCCCGAGAUGAGUUCUCCCUGAGACUAUAAGUCUCCUGAAGGAACGUUAAAGACGAUGACGUUGAUAGGCCGGGUGUGUAAGCGCAGCGAUGCGUUGAGCUAACCGGUACUAAUGAACCGUGAGGCUUAACCUU